GGUCCGGUGGCCUAAUGGUCAAGGCGUUGGUUUUCGGUGCUAAUAUUUCGAAGGGGUUCGAAUCCUCUCCGGAUCG
RNAcentral lists this transfer RNA (76 nucleotides) under Rhinocladiella mackenziei CBS 650.93. RNAcentral's name for it is "tRNA-Arg (TCG) (tRNA-Arg-TCG-1-1)". It matches the Rfam family "tRNA". From Rfam's summary of the family: Transfer RNA (tRNA) molecules are approximately 80 nucleotides in length. Their secondary structure includes four short double-helical elements and three loops (D, anti-codon, and T loops). The record is from RNAcentral. Lineage: Eukaryota; Fungi; Ascomycota; Eurotiomycetes; Chaetothyriales; Herpotrichiellaceae.